Molecule: ribosomal RNA, 301 nt
Filed under: uncultured bacterium
Lineage: Bacteria
Description: partial 16S ribosomal RNA
Rfam family: Bacterial small subunit ribosomal RNA
Source: RNAcentral
CAGCAGCCACGGUAAUACGUAGGGUGCGAGCGUUAAUCGGAAUUACUGGGCGUAAAGCGUGCGCAGGCGGUUUUGUAAGACAGGCGUGAAAUCCCCGGGCUCAACCUGGGAAUGGCGCUUGUGACUGCAAAGCUAGAGUGCGGCAAAGGGGGGUGGAAUUCCGCGUGUAGCAGUGAAAUGCGUAGAUAUGCGGAGGAACACCGAUGGCGAAGGCAAUCCCCUGGGCCUGCACUGACGCUCAUGCACGAAAGCGUGGGGAGCAAACAGGAUUAGAUACCCCCGUAGUCCCUGUCUCUUAUAC